This 1347-nucleotide ribosomal RNA is filed under the name uncultured bacterium. RNAcentral's name for it is "bacterial SSU rRNA". It matches the Rfam family "Bacterial small subunit ribosomal RNA", at positions 28 to 1381 of the family's 1533-position model. The record is from RNAcentral.
GACGAACGCUGGCGGCGUGCUUAACACAUGCAAGUCGAACGAUGAAGCCUAGCUUGCUAGGUGGAUUAGUGGCGAACGGGUGAGUAAUACGUGAGUAACCUACCUUUAACUCUGGGAUAAGCCUGGGAAACUGGGUCUAAUACCGGAUACGACCAAUCUCCGCAUGGGGUGUUGGUGGAAAGCGUUAUGUAGUGGUUAUAGAUGGGCUCACGGCCUAUCAGCUUGUUGGUGAGGUAACGGCUCACCAAGGCGACGACGGGUAGCCGGCCUGAGAGGGUGACCGGCCACACUGGGACUGAGACACGGCCCAGACUCCUACGGGAGGCAGCAGUGGGGAAUAUUGCACAAUGGGCGCAAGCCUGAUGCAGCGACGCCGCGUGAGGGAUGACGGCCUUCGGGUUGUAAACCUCUGUUAGCAGGGAAGAAGAGAGAUUGACGGUACCUGCAGAGAAAGCGCCGGCUAACUACGUGCCAGCAGCCGCGGUAAUACGUAGGGCGCGAGCGUUGUCCGGAAUUAUUGGGCGUAAAGAGCUUGUAGGCGGUUUGUCGCGUCUGCUGUGAAGGCCGGGGCUUAACCCCGUGUAUUGCAGUGGGUACGGGCAGACUAGAGUGCAGUAGGGGAGACUGGAAUUCCUGGUGUAGCGGUGGAAUGCGCAGAUAUCAGGAGGAACACCGAUGGCGAAGGCAGGUCUCUGGGCUGUAACUGACGCUGAGAAGCGAAAGCAUGGGGAGCGAACAGGAUUAGAUACCCUGGUAGUCCAUGCCGUAAACGUUGGGCACUAGGUGUGGGGGACAUUCCACGUUUUCCGCGCCGUAGCUAACGCAUUAAGUGCCCCGCCUGGGGAGUACGGCCGCAAGGCUAAAACUCAAAGAAAUUGACGGGGGCCCGCACAAGCGGCGGAGCAUGCGGAUUAAUCCGAUGCAACGCGAAGAACCUUACCAAGGCUUGACAUAUACUGGACCGCAUCAGAGAUGGUGUUUCCCUUCGGGGCUGGUAUACAGGUGGUGCAUGGUUGUCGUCAGCUCGUGUCGUGAGAUGUUGGGUUAAGUCCCGCAACGAGCGCAACCCUCGUUCUAUGUUGCCAGCACGUUAUGGUGGGGACUCAUAGGAGACUGCCGGGGUCAACUCGGAGGAAGGUGGGGAUGACGUCAAAUCAUCAUGCCCCUUAUGUCUUGGGCUUCACGCAUGCUACAAUGGCCGGUACAGAGGGUUGCGAUACUGUGAGGUGGAGCUAAUCCCUAAAAGCCGGUCUCAGUUCGGAUUGGGGUCUGCAACUCGACCCCAUGAAGUCGGAGUCGCUAGUAAUCGCAGAUCAGCAACGCUGCGGUGAAUACGUUCCCGGGCCU